This is a long non-coding RNA of Spinacia oleracea (spinach), 1778 nucleotides long. RefSeq lists it as uncharacterized. NCBI's taxonomy places the organism in Eukaryota, Viridiplantae, Streptophyta, Magnoliopsida, Caryophyllales, Amaranthaceae. The transcript is spliced from 7 exons. The record is from RefSeq and is a predicted model, not a curated record.
CCCAAAGGGAAAAAAAACACUGUGACGCCCACAAAAACCAUUUACCACGUGACUCGAGGCCACGAUCUAUGCGGUUCAUCUUUAUCUCCCCCCAAAAAUUUCCAGAACGCUAAACUACACUUUUCAUUCCCAAUUCGAACCCUCAAUCGAAAAUUUAGGUUCCCUUCAAUCCAAAAUCGCCGAGUUCCCUUCAAUCUGAAAUUUGUCAAUUUCAUUUGCAGUUUUGCGAUUCUUCUUCUUCUUGGGAAUGCAGUCCAAGAGGAUUUUGAUGGAGCUCAAGGAGAAAGAUCCUCCUACUUCUCAAACUGAUGUCACAUUAAUCCUCUGGAGACAAGCUGGUCUGAUUAAUCCUCUGGAGAGACUAAUUCUCAUAUAUGAUGUUGUUUCCAAUUCCAUAUUCUGGCAGAGAUGAGAUUAUUGAGUGGGAUAAGGAAGUUAAACAGUUAGGUAAGACACUCUUGGGCUAUUCUCUCAAGGAUUGGGAGUGGAGGUUGAUAAGUUGAAAGAGAUGUCAUGUUCAGGAGACAGAGUUAUGGCAGGCCACUAUUAUCCAUAUUGUCCCCAGCUCAACAAGACAGUUCGGAACUUGUGAUCGCAUCCCAUACUGAUCCUGGCGUUCUCACACUGUUGUUGCAGGAUCAAUUUGGUGGGUUCCAAGUUAAACAUGAGGGGAAAUGGGUUAAUGUCAAGCCAAUCCAAGGUGCACUUGUUACCAAUGUCGGCGACUUGCUUCGGCUCCUCUCGGAUGAUAAGUACAUGAGUGUAGAAUACCGAGCGUAUGAUAAUCCUCAGCAAGAACCACGGGUUUCAGUUGUUGUGUUCUUCAACCUAAGCACGAGGGAAAACUUGUACGGACCCCUACCAGAGAUAGUAUCACCUGAAGAGCCUGCACUAUACAACCAUCGAAUUAUUCCUCGGUGCAAGAUUUCAACCAAGAAUGAAUUAAAUCGUUAAUGCACUAAACAUCGAGAUGUGAGGAUGAAAAUGAUUGUUCAAAGGCUGGAGUUGAAACAAGUUCAAGUGGUGGUCAAGCCUGCUGAUAAAUCAGUGGAACGGCUGAAAGACUACAUCAAUGUUAGAGCAUGGAGGGGUUAAGUUUGUCAAAGAUAGGGGAAAUCGGGUUUUGAAGUGUUGUAGGUCUUUUCCUAGUAUGUUGACAUCCUAGAGUUUUGUGGUGUUCCACCAAUAGAACUAGAGAGGCGGUUGCAUGAGGUACUUGAAGCAAGACAAGAACUACGGAUAACAGAACUCGAAGCACAUCUAGAACGCAUGAAGAAAAGGCUUGAGAAGGAGGUAGAAGUCACUUGGUGGAAAGACACUGCUAAGCAUAUCUCCAAGCAAGUCCCUGAAUCUUCCCGUGCCUUGAGUAUCCUCUGCAAAAGAAUGGCAUGGAUUCUGGAUAUUAUGUCAUGAGAUUCAUUUAAGAGAUGCUUGACCAUAAGCAAACUCGAAUAUUUGAAAGAUUACUUUCAUGAUUGCAAUGUUCCGAAUUAUGAUCAAGAACAGAUUGAUGAAGUCAGAGCUCAAUGGACUCGUCGUGUUCUUCUCGUGUGAAUACUGUGGUGGAUUAAUUGUAUUUUUAUUCUAAUUUUAGUGUGUUGAUUUGAAAUUAAAAGAAGUAUUAUAUAACAUAGAUACUUCUUUCUUUUUUCUAUUUUUUUUCUAGUGUGUUUAAUUAGAUAACAUUGCAUAUGAUUUUAAGUUUUGGGACAUGAGACGUUUAUUUGAUAUGAUAGAAAUGAAAUUAGAUGUUAUGUAUAUAUAUUCAAUUUUUUUUC